AACAUCUCAAAUCUCUCUUCAAUUGUUGAGAGAAUUGGAUUUGAGCGAUCCCGACUCCUUCGUCAGAAAGAGGAGGGUCGCUUGAAAUGCAGGUGCAGCUGGACAUUCUUCUGAGCAAAAAGCAUAUCUAUUUAGUCCCGUCAAACGGAUUAUUACUUUUGCUUCAGCUAAUAUAAAGGUUGAAUGAACUACCAACGCUGAUUGCAGGAAAACAUGUUCGUUUAUUCGAACUUGUAA
RNAcentral lists this unclassified non-coding RNA (237 nucleotides) under Gryganskiella fimbricystis. RNAcentral's name for it is "partial internal transcribed spacer 2". Lineage: Eukaryota; Fungi; Mortierellomycota; Mortierellomycetes; Mortierellales; Mortierellaceae. The record is from RNAcentral.